AGAGUUUGAUCAUGGCUCAGAACGAACGCUGGCGGCGUGCUUAACACAUGCAAGUCGAGUGCGCGCCUGUAGCAAUACAGGUGGCGCACGGCGCACGGGUGCGUAACACGUGGGUAACCUGCCCUUUGGUGGGGAAUAACUCCGCGAAAGCGAAGCUAAUUCCGCAUAAGAUCCGCAAGGAUGAAAGCCGAAAGGCGCCGAUGGAGGGGCCCGCGCACGAUUAGCUAGUUGGUAGGGUAAUGGCCUACCAAGGCUUUGAUCGUUAGCUGGUCUGAGAGGAUGGCCAGCCACACUGGAACUGAGACACGGUCCAGACUCCUACGGGAGGCAGCAGUGGGGAAUCUUGCACAAUGGGCGAAAGCCUGAUGCAGCGACGCCGCGUGGGGGAUGAAGCUUCUCGGAGUGUAAACCCCUUUCGAUCCGGACGAAUGCCCGCAAGGGAUUGACGGUACGGAUAUAAGAAGCCCCGGCUAACUACGUGCCAGCAGCCGCGGUAAUACGUAGGGGGCCAGCGUUGUUCGGAAUUACUGGGUGUAAAGGGUUCGUAGGCGGUGCGGCAAGUUGGGAGUGAAAUCUCUGGGCUCAACCCAGAGGCUGCUUCCAAAACUGCCGUGCUUGAGUGUGGGAGAGGCUCGUGGAAUUGCAGGUGUAGCGGGAAAUGCGUAGAUAUCUGCAGGAACACCCGUGGCGAAAGCGGCGAGCUGGACCACUACUGACGCUGAGACGAAGCUACUAGGGGAGCAAACAGGAUUAGAUACCCUAGUAGUCC
This 769-nucleotide ribosomal RNA is filed under the name uncultured bacterium. Its description in RNAcentral is "bacterial SSU rRNA". It matches the Rfam family "Bacterial small subunit ribosomal RNA", at positions 8 to 796 of the family's 1533-position model. The record is from RNAcentral.